AUGCCCAUCUUCUCCUAUAUGAAGUCUUUCGAUGAGAAAAAAACAUUAAGCAACCUUUCGGGACGAGACUCGGCCGCCACGAGGCGGAACCUUGGUGGAACCAAUCUAGGGCUCCGGCAGAGCUGUUCUGCCGGGGACACUUCCCUCCGGGAGGGGGAAAUCAUGACCAACGUCAUCACCAACGAUCCUCUCAUCGGGAGAGGGCAAUAUCCAUCAACAUCUUCACCAGCACCAUCUCAUCUCCAAACCCUAGUUCAUCUCUUGUAUCCAAUUCUUGUCUCCAAGUCCGGGAUUGGUGCUAGUAGGUUGCUAAUAGUGUUGAUUACUCCUUGUAGUUGA
RNAcentral lists this ribosomal RNA (339 nucleotides) under Triticum aestivum (bread wheat). Its description in RNAcentral is "partial small subunit ribosomal RNA". The record is from RNAcentral. Lineage: Eukaryota; Viridiplantae; Streptophyta; Magnoliopsida; Poales; Poaceae.